CGUUUAUAUGAAUGCAGGCAGAGAGAGCAGAGAGAGCAGAGCAGAGUGGAGGGAGAGUAGAGUAGAGGAGAGGAGAGAGACAGCCCCACACUGCCGCGUCACGUCCAGGUCCUGUACACACUGCUGCCUCUAAAACACGGUGAUGCUGCUUCUGGUUGGGUGAAACCACAGGUUUGAUCCUCAUCGCUGAUAGUAGCAGGGAGCCUGAAAGGGCAGUCAGAUGACUCCAGCUCCAACGUCCUUCGCAUCUAUCCAUGCAGCCCAGGUCCUGGGCUAGAUCUGCCCUGCCCUCCUCUCACUGUCCUGCUACAGCUAUAGGAAAAACUCACAGUUUAUACAGCAUGUAGCUAAGCCAGAGUAUGGGUCUGCCUUUGUGCUAGCUGGGCGACUGAAGCGUUCGUUCUGGAGCCACUGAGCAGGAAGCGGCAACUUUUAUUAAGCAUGGCAGAGGGCUGUAGGGAGAGCGGAGAGAUGCUGGGUGCUACAUCACACACCAGCUCUGUGCUCGAUGCUACAGCCAGAGGAAACGCUCAGCUGCAUUGCUGGUAGCAGCAUAGAGCGAGAGGUACUCUGCUGUACAGCAAACGCCGUAUGCAGCACCACACCAGCUAGAUCCCGAUGCAUUGACGUUGACCAAAAGGAAAAAUUUCUUUUGCAUGAAACGAGACUAUCUGUAGCCCCCACAGAAACAACAUGCACCUUGAAUGCAUAACGCUGCACCAUCUGUUUCAUGCGUGUGCACACACACACUCUGUCUGUGCAGCAGCAUAUUACACCAAAGCCUCUCGUCUGUGCUUACGCAGCCACCGUGGUUAGGUAAUGCAGAACCCGAGAAAGGAUGGCAGUGACUACUGUCCUAUUUUGCACCACAGCAGUCACAGGACAGAUGUUCAUCGAUGCUUUUUCUCACAAUCGCAGCGAGCGUGCAAAGUGAAAGCAAGGCUGAGGGGGAAAAAGAGAGUCCUGCUAUCAGCAGGGGCUCUCGGUGUACCUAUAUAGAGGCUGCUGAUUGAUGCAAAAGCAGCAGAUGCGUCAGCACUGCAGACGAGGGGGAGGGGAGGAAGCUGAACCCGACGUGGCACUGUGAGCCUCUCGCUAGCCUCUGAGGACGGAAGCAGCUCUUUAAUUUGCACAACUGAGUGUAGUCAUAUGACGGUGUGGGUCUUCUCCUCGUGCUGGCUGUGAGACUGCUUUUGAACCAGUUUGAACGCCUUGUUGACUUCAAAAGACAAAGUAGCAGGUGCCAUAUCAUUAUGCAUGUACUCACUCAGUGCCUUGAAGGAAGGAAACGUGCUAUUCAUGGAGCAUUUGUGGUUUAGCCUCUUAAAUUACACUCAGUGAUCACCCUCAAUCUACGCUGCUAUAUUGUCUUGUUCCCUUUUCGGAGUUCGAUCAUGUUGGUUUCAUAAAUACACAAUUAACCACA
Sebastes umbrosus (honeycomb rockfish) is the source of this 1426-nucleotide long non-coding RNA. RefSeq lists it as uncharacterized. Lineage: Eukaryota; Metazoa; Chordata; Actinopteri; Perciformes; Sebastidae. The record is from RefSeq and is a predicted model, not a curated record. The transcript has 3 exons.